RNAcentral lists this unclassified non-coding RNA (220 nucleotides) under uncultured fungus. RNAcentral's name for it is "sequence contains ITS1". Lineage: Eukaryota; Fungi. The record is from RNAcentral.
UUGAUUGCUUAUUUAUGCCACGACUCAGAAGAUUCCACUGGGAAACAAGAGGUUUGGGUCCCCCGGCGGGCGCCUGGCUCCAGGGCAGCGCACUGCGGCUCCUUGCUCGGGGCAGCACAAUGCGGCCCUGGGGCGAUCCGCCGAAGCAACGUGGUAUGUUCACAAAGGUUGGGAGUUCAGAGACUCGCUAAUGAUCCCUCCGCUGGUUCACCAACGGAGA